GACGUAAGGGUGCGUAACAAGUAUGCAAUCUGCCCUCAACAGGAGGAUAGCUCCCCGAAAGGGGAAUUAACACUCCAUAAUAUCAUUGGAUGGCAUCAUUUGAUGAUUAAAACUACGGUGGUUGAGGAUGAGCAUGCUUCUGAUUAGCUAGUUGGUAGUGUAACGGACUACCAAGGCGAUGAUCAGUAGGGGAACUGAGAGGUUGAUCCCCCACACUGGCACUGAGAUACGGGCCAGACUCCUACGGGAGGCAGCAGUAGGGAAUAUUGGACAAUGGGUGCAAGCCUGAUCCAGCCAUGCCGCGUGCAGGAAGAAGGCCUUCUGGGUUGUAAACUGCUUUUGUCAGGGGAUAAAAAGCCCAUGCGUGGGAAAUUGAAGGUACCUGGCGAAUAAGCCACGGCUAACUACGUGCCAGCAGCCGCGGUAAUACGUAGGUGGCAAGCGUUGUCCGGAUUUAUUGGGUUUAAAGGGUGCGUAGGCGGUCUAUUAAGUCAGUGCUGAAAUAUCCCGGCUUAACCGGGAGGGUGGCAUUGAUACUGAUGGACUUGAGUGCAGUCGAGGUAGGCGGAAUUGACGGUGUAGCGGUGAAAUGCUUAGAUAUCGUCAAGAACACCGAUAGUGUAGACAGCUUACUAGGCUGUAACUGACGCUGAGGCACGAAAGUGUGGGGAUCAAACAGGAUUAGAUACCCUGGUAGUCC
RNAcentral lists this ribosomal RNA (700 nucleotides) under uncultured bacterium. RNAcentral's name for it is "bacterial SSU rRNA". It matches the Rfam family "Bacterial small subunit ribosomal RNA", at positions 97 to 796 of the family's 1533-position model. The record is from RNAcentral.